RNAcentral lists this ribosomal RNA (206 nucleotides) under uncultured microorganism. RNAcentral's name for it is "partial 16S ribosomal RNA". It matches the Rfam family "Archaeal small subunit ribosomal RNA", at positions 330 to 494 of the family's 1478-position model. The record is from RNAcentral.
GCGCAGCAGUCGAGAAAACUCCGCAAUGCUCGAAAGAGUGACGGGGGGAUUCCAAGUGCCUACGCUUAGCGUAGGCUGUUCAGAUGCCUAAAAAGCAAUCUGGAGUAAGGGCUGGGUAAGACGGGUGCCAUCUGCAGUGGUAAUGAAAAAACUUGCUACUGCAAGGCGUAAGCCGCCGCGGUAAUACCCGCAGCCCGAGUGGUAGU